Molecule: transfer RNA, 78 nt
Filed under: Puniceicoccales bacterium
Lineage: Bacteria; Pseudomonadati; Verrucomicrobiota; Opitutia; Puniceicoccales
Description: tRNA-Pro
Rfam family: tRNA
About the family: Transfer RNA (tRNA) molecules are approximately 80 nucleotides in length.
Source: RNAcentral
CGGGGUGUAGCUCAGUCUGGCUAGAGCGCUACGUUCGGGACGUAGAAGUCGCUGGUUCAAAUCCAGUCAUCCCGACCA